UGCUUCUGUAAAUGUUGGUAUGGGUAAGUCUUGCAGUUCUUCUUUGCUCCGAUGCAGGUGCUAUUAUUAGCAAGGAUUCUGUGCUUUGUUUUAAGCGGAAGAUGUUCAGGAAUGCGUUAACUGUUGACUUGUCGUGGUUUUGACUGUCUGAGUGUGUUCUUUUUUAGGGUGGCAUCAUUGCAGGAUGUGCCCCGUGCCCACCAGAGGGAGUAUGAGAAACACGUGGAGAGCAUUGACAGUUCAAAGAUAACUGCCCAGGAAUGAGAGAAGCCUUCAGAUGCUGCUAUGAAUUACAAAUUCUACAGGGGCAUGAAAACAUACAUAGAGAACUUAGUAAAGAGUUUCAAUGAAAAAGCAAAAAUGAGAUUUCUUCUUUGGAAAUGAUGAUGAGAGACGACCAGUUAUGAGUCAGUUCUAUCAGAAACUUGAGUGUAACAGGAAACAAAGGAGGAACAGACCACCCCUCACAGUAACCUAAAAUGAUUAAGCUGAAAUACAUAACUGAGCUCGAAUCUGCUGUACGUGCACUUCUCCAGCAGCGAGCCGUGUCGGUACUGAAGCGAAAGCAAGAUGAGCUGGAAACGGAAUCUACUUAUAUGCAGCAUCUGACAAAAUGCAGGACUUGCAGGCGGCAGCUGAGAGAGCAUUCACAAACAG
Molecule: long non-coding RNA, 657 nt
Organism: Gallus gallus (chicken)
Lineage: Eukaryota; Metazoa; Chordata; Aves; Galliformes; Phasianidae
Exons: 4
Source: RefSeq, a predicted model, not a curated record